GUCCAUGCAGUAAACGAUGAGUGUUCAAUAUUGGAUAUAAAUUUCAGUAUUUUAGCUAACGCGUUAAACACUCCGCCUGGGGAGUACGAUCGCAAGGUUGAAACUUAAAGGAAUUGACGGGAGCUUAUACAAACGGUGGAGCAUGUGGUUUAAUGCGAUAACACGCGCAAAACCUUACCAGUUCUUGAUAUAUAAAAAUGUUUAAAUUUAUAUUUAAAAUGUGUAUUUAUACAGGUGUUGCAUGGCUGCCGU
This 252-nucleotide ribosomal RNA is filed under the name uncultured bacterium. RNAcentral describes it as "partial 16S ribosomal RNA". It matches the Rfam family "Bacterial small subunit ribosomal RNA", at positions 793 to 1055 of the family's 1533-position model. The record is from RNAcentral.